RNAcentral lists this ribosomal RNA (506 nucleotides) under uncultured bacterium. RNAcentral's name for it is "partial 16S ribosomal RNA". It matches the Rfam family "Bacterial small subunit ribosomal RNA", at positions 30 to 523 of the family's 1533-position model. The record is from RNAcentral.
AUUGAACGCUGGCGGCAGGCUUAACACAUGCAAGUCGAGCGGUAACAGAGAGAAGCUUGCUUCUCUGCUGACGAGCGGCGGACGGGUGAGUAAUGCCUAGGAAUCUGCCUAGUAGUGGGGGAUAACUUGCCGAAAGGUAAGCUAAUACCGCAUACGUCCUACGGGAGAAAGGAGGGGACCUUCGGGCCUUUCGCUAUUAGAUGAGCCUAGGUCGGAUUAGUUAGUUGGUGAGGUAAUGGCUCACCAAGACCGCGAUCCGUAACUGGUCUGAGAGGAUGAUCAGUCACACUGGAACUGAGACACGGUCCAGACUCCUACGGGAGGCAGCAGUGGGGAAUAUUGGACAAUGGGGGGAACCCUGAUCCAGCCAUGCCGCGUGUGUGAAGAAGGUCUUAGGAUUGUAAAGCACUUUAAGUUGGGAGGAAGAGCAGUUAACUAAUAUUUGACUGUUUUGACGUUACCGACAGAAUAAGCACCGGCUAACUUCGUGCCAGCCGCCGCAGUAA